RNAcentral lists this long non-coding RNA (323 nucleotides) under Carica papaya (papaya). RNAcentral's name for it is "long non-coding RNA (CPAP_LNC001638)". The record is from RNAcentral. Lineage: Eukaryota; Viridiplantae; Streptophyta; Magnoliopsida; Brassicales; Caricaceae.
UUACAAAUAAUGGGAAUGGAAUACACAGUAGGAUCAGCAUCCAUAUUCGUAUUUAUUCAAUCGUUAGGGAGAAAAAUAGAUUUUAUUACUUUUUCAAAAUUCACAAGGUGACAACUUUACUUUCACAAUCAAUAAUUACCCCAUAUUUUUUUAACAAAUCCAUUCCUAGAAUAACAUCAAACUUUGAGAAAUCUAAGAGUAUUAGGUUUACAAAUACUUAUAUUUCUAAAGUUUUUAUCUUAGAAUUUUUAUGCACAUAGUGAGUUUUUAAUAAUCCCUUAACGAGAGUCUCUAUAACUAAUAUUUCUUUUAAACGUUCAGGC